This 649-nucleotide ribosomal RNA is filed under the name bacterium. RNAcentral describes it as "bacterial SSU rRNA". It matches the Rfam family "Bacterial small subunit ribosomal RNA", at positions 84 to 729 of the family's 1533-position model. The record is from RNAcentral.
CCUGGUGGCGAGCGGCGGACGGGUGAGUAAUGCAUAGGAAUCUGCCCGGUAGUGGGGGAUAACGUGGGGAAACCCACGCUAAUACCGCAUACGUCCUACGGGAGAAAGCGGGGGAUCUUCGGACUUCGCGCUAUCGGAUGAGCCUAUGUCGGAUUAGCUAGUUGGUAAGGUAACGGCUUACCAAGGCGACGAUCCGUAGCUGGUCUGAGAGGAUGAUCAGCCACACUGGGACUGAGACACGGCCCAGACUCCUACGGGAGGCAGCAGUGGGGAAUAUUGGACAAUGGGCGAAAGCCUGAUCCAGCCAUGCCGCGUGUGUGAAGAAGGCUUUCGGGUUGUAAAGCACUUUCAGCGAGGAAGAAAGCCUCUGGGUUAAUACCCCAGAGGAAGGACAUCACUCGCAGAAGAAGCACCGGCUAACUCCGUGCCAGCAGCCGCGGUAAUACGGAGGGUGCGAGCGUUAAUCGGAAUUACUGGGCGUAAAGCGCGCGUAGGUGGCUUGGCACGCCGGUUGUGAAAGCCCCGGGCUCAACCUGGGAACGGCAUCCGGAACGGCCAGGCUAGAGUGCAGGAGAGGAAGGUAGAAUUCCCGGUGUAGCGGUGAAAUGCGUAGAGAUCGGGAGGAAUACCAGUGGCGAAGGCGGCCUUC